This 253-nucleotide ribosomal RNA is filed under the name uncultured bacterium. RNAcentral describes it as "partial 16S ribosomal RNA". It matches the Rfam family "Bacterial small subunit ribosomal RNA", at positions 524 to 776 of the family's 1533-position model. The record is from RNAcentral.
UACGGGGGGGGCAAGCGUUGUUCGGAAUUACUGGGCGUAAAGGGCUCGUAGGUGGCCAACUAAGUCAGACGUGAAAUCCCCAGGCUCAACUUGGGAACUGCGUCUGAUACUGGAUGGCUUGAAUUCGGGAGAGGGAUGCAGAAUUCCAGGUGUAGCGGUGAAAUGCGCAGAUAUCAGGAGGAACACCGGUGGCGAAGGCGGGUCUCUGGGCCGAUACUGACGCUGAGGAGCGAAAGCGUGGGGAGCAAACAGG